AAUCUUGAGUUGCUACAACCUCUGCCUCAUGGAUUCAAGCGAUUCUUAUGCCUCAGCCUCCCAACAGGGGACCUCCUCGCCCACGACCUGCCCCAGCAGUUGGAGAGGCUGAAGAUAAAGAAAAUCAGCAAGCCACCAGUGGUCCAAACCAGCAGUCUGUUCGCCGUGGAUACCGGCGUCCCUACAAUUACCGGCGUCGCCCGCGUCCUCCUAACGCUCCUUCACAAGAUGGCAAAGAGGCCAAGGCAGGUGAAGCACCAACUGAGAACCCUGCUCCACCCACCCAGCAGAGCAGUGCUGAGUAACACCAGGCUCCCCAGGCACCUUCACCAUCGGCAGGUGACCUAAAGAAUUAGUGACCAUUCAGAAAUAAAGCAAAAAGCAGGCCACAACCUUACCAACACCAAAGAAACAUCCAAGCAAUAAAGUGGAAGACUAACCAAGAUUUGGACAUUGGAAUGUUUACUGUUAUUCUUUAAGAAACAACUACAAAAAGAAAAUGUCAACAAAUUUUUCCAGCAAGCUGAGAACCUGGGAAUUCCUGCACAGAAGACAAGAGAGCAGCCUCCCCAGUUUCAGCAACCGCUAGGUUUAUAUUUUUUUUCCUGGUUUUUACUGUUUUGGUAAUAUAUAUAUUGAAACAAGAAAUAUUAAUACCACAUGGGGAGAACCCCAA
This 676-nucleotide small RNA is filed under the name Pongo abelii (Sumatran orangutan). Its description in RNAcentral is "processed transcript". Lineage: Eukaryota; Metazoa; Chordata; Mammalia; Primates; Hominidae. The record is from RNAcentral.